RNAcentral lists this ribosomal RNA (492 nucleotides) under uncultured bacterium. RNAcentral's name for it is "partial 16S ribosomal RNA". It matches the Rfam family "Bacterial small subunit ribosomal RNA", at positions 29 to 507 of the family's 1533-position model. The record is from RNAcentral.
AGUGAACGCUGGCGGUAGGCCUAACACAUGCAAGCCGAACGGCAGCACAGUAAGAGCUUGCUCUUACGGGUGGCGAGUGGCGGACGGGUUAGGAAUCCAUCGGAAUCUACUUUUUCGAGGGGGAUAACGUAGGGAAAAUUACGCUAAUACCGCAUACGACCUACGGGUGAAAGCAGGGGAUCUUCGGACCUUGCGCGAUUGAAUGAGCCGAUGUCGGAUUAGCUAGUUAGCGGGGUAACGGCCCACCAAGCCGAAGAUCCGUAGCUGGUCUGAGCGGAUGAUGAGCCACACUAGAAUUGAGACACGGUCCAGACUACUAUGGGAGGCAGCGGAGGGGAGUAUUGGACUAUGGGCGGAGUGCGGAUCCAGUCAUGCCGCGUGGGUGAAGAAAGGAUGGGGGUUGUAAAGCCAUUUUGUUGGGAAAGAAAAGUAGCACGUUAAUAGUCCGCUUAGCUGACGGUACUGAAAGAAUAAGCACCGGCUAACUUCGUG